This 253-nucleotide ribosomal RNA is filed under the name uncultured bacterium. RNAcentral's name for it is "partial 16S ribosomal RNA". It matches the Rfam family "Bacterial small subunit ribosomal RNA", at positions 524 to 776 of the family's 1533-position model. The record is from RNAcentral.
UACGAAGGGGGCUAGCGUUGUUCGGAAUCACUGGGCGUAAAGGGCGCGUAGGCGGCUUUAUAAGUCGGGGGUGAAAGCCUGUGGCUCAACCACAGAAUUGCCUUCGAUACUGUAGAGCUUGAGACCGGAAGAGGUAAGUGGAACUGCGAGUGUAGAGGUGAAAUUCGUAGAUAUUCGCAAGAACACCAGUGGCGAAGGCGGCUUACUGGUCCUUAACUGACGCUGAGGCGCGAAAGCCAGGGUAGCGAACGGG